GAUGACGCUGGCGGCGUGCCUAAUAUAUGCAAGUCGAACGAGUGGCGGACGGGUGAGUAAUGUCUGGGAAACUGCCUGAUGGAGGGGGAUAACUACUGGAAACGGUAGCUAAUACCGCAUACCAUCGGAUGUGCCCAGAUGGGAUUAGCUAGUGGGUGGGGUAACGGCUCACCGAGGCGACGAUCCCUAGCUGGUCUGAGAGGAUGACCAGCCACACUGGAACUGAGACACGGUCCAGACUCCUACGGGAGGCAGCAGUGGGGAAUAUUGGACAAUGGGCGAAAGCCUGAUACAGCCAUGCCGCGUGUAUGAAGAAGGCCUUCGGGUUGUAAAGUACUUUCAGCGGGGAGGCGUUACCAGCAGAAGAAGCACCGGCUAACUACGUGCCAGCAGCCGCGGUAAUAC
RNAcentral lists this ribosomal RNA (405 nucleotides) under uncultured bacterium. RNAcentral's name for it is "partial 16S ribosomal RNA". It matches the Rfam family "Bacterial small subunit ribosomal RNA", at positions 33 to 526 of the family's 1533-position model. The record is from RNAcentral.